Molecule: small nuclear RNA, 108 nt
Organism: Vulpes vulpes (red fox)
Lineage: Eukaryota; Metazoa; Chordata; Mammalia; Carnivora; Canidae
Source: Ensembl
GUGCUCGCUUUGGCAGCACAGAGACUAAAAUUGGAAAGCUACAGAGAAGAUGAGCAUGGCCUCGGUGCAAGGAAAACAUGCAAAACUACUGAGUAUAUAGUUAAAUGU